Molecule: ribosomal RNA, 253 nt
Filed under: uncultured bacterium
Lineage: Bacteria
Description: partial 16S ribosomal RNA
Rfam family: Bacterial small subunit ribosomal RNA
Source: RNAcentral
CAGAGGUGCAAGCGUUAAUCGGGAAUUACUGGGCGUAAAGGGAGCGUAGGUGGCUCGAUAAGUCAGAUGUGAAAUCCCCGGGCUCAACCUGGGAACUGCAUCUGAUACUGUUGAGCUAGAGUAUGUGAGAGGAAGGUAGAAUUCCAGGUGUAGCGGUGAAAUGCGUAGAGAUCUGGAGGAAUACCGAUGGCGAAGGCAGCCUUCUGGCAUAAUACUGACACUGAGGCUCGAAAGCGUGGUAGCAAACAGGAUU